GCCUUCGUGGUGUAGUGGUCAGCACGCUCGGCGCGUACUCGAGAGGUCCAUGGUUCGAAUCUUGGCGAGGGCA
Stegodyphus mimosarum is the source of this 73-nucleotide non-coding RNA. Lineage: Eukaryota; Metazoa; Arthropoda; Arachnida; Araneae; Eresidae. The record is from Rfam.